UAUUCACUAGUUUGAUAUUGAGAUGUCUAAACUUUUUUAGAAAAAACUCAAUAUUAAUUCAUUUGCGAUAUAAUUAUAUUAUCAUUCCAAUUUCAAUAUCCUAAAUUACAUUUGCUCCCUUAUAUAUAUUGAUGACCGUUGGGCCUCGUUUACCCUAGAGGAGGCCAAGCCCAAAGAAGCAAAAUAGGCCCACGGUUCCAUAAGCCGGUUUUCAGCAGGCCGACCCAACAUUUUAAGCCUUGACUUCAACACACGGGGCAGAUCGGGUCACCCGCAAGCCCAAGUCUAGUAACCAGAAAUCUAGCCUGGUGAUGCGACGUGGUAAAAGAUAGCAGGCCCAGUCACUUCGCAGCCCUGCCUGCAUGUGCAUCGGAAAAAAUUAAAUGGCCGCCUGGCAUGGAGAGGGGUCUGACACUCCCGUACGUAUGGACCUGCUUGACAGAGACAAGUGGCACUAUAGCAGAGAGGCCGUUAGACAUCACUAGCGGACAAAAGAAAAAGAAUAAAAGGAAGGAAGCACCUUCCUUUCCAUCUAAGCUUACAAUCGCACUGUAAACCUUAUUCUCUGAAUCUCAGAACAUCAUAUAUUUUUUUAUCAAAUUUAUAUAUACUAUAUCAUAAUUUAUAUCAAAUAUAAGUAUAUAUAUAUUAUAUCAUAAUUUGUAUCAAAUAUAAGCAUAUGACCACAUAUAAUAAGUAACCACCCAUUAAUUAUUUAUAAACUUUGUAAACAUAUACUUAUCAACUUCAAUAGAAAGAAUAAUGAUCCUAAUCAAAACUUGGUCAAAUUUCUCAUUGUGUGGGUUAAGUGUUUAUUUCAAAGUAUAUAAAGAUUCAAGAAUUUUGUAAACUUUAUUUGAUUCUUCUCUCAAAUUGUACCACAAACUUUUUCUUUCAAAUCUCCAGAAAAUAAAAGUCUAAUUGGUAAAUAAAGUUUUAUACAAUGAAGUUAAAACAAUUAAAUUCGAACUUUUUUUUAAGGAUCAAUAUACAUGGCUUUAGCAAAACACCCCACACUUUUAAUUUUUCCAUAAUUCAUAGGAGUUUUAUCAAUUAAAAAAUAUAUUUUAUUUUCUUCUAUUACAGUACUAUUAAUAUUACUAUGAAUAAAAAUAAAAAUAAAUAAAUGCAAGUCUAUCCUUCAAAAUAAUAGUAUCAGAAAAGCAAUUAUAGGACUGAACGAGUAAUCAAGCAUGUAUAACAAAUAACAAAAAAAAAAAUUAGUAAAUUAGAAAUAAGAAAUAAGUAAUUUCAAUUGACGGAAAAAGAUAUUAAAUGACAUGAGAAAUAGCCAUUUUCAUUUUCAAAUUGAGUCCACAAAGACAACAAAAAUUAAAGAAUUAAAAUUAAAAAAGUUAACAUUGAAUGAGCUAAAGAAUGAAAUAUUAAAAAAAACUCACAUGCAUUGCAUUAAUGCACAUUAAACUAUUGCAAUCAAUAAUUAAUUUUUCUAAUUAACAAAUUGCUAUCUUAUGAUAUAUUCAACAAACAAAAUCAAAUAAAGUAGCACUUUUACUUCCUUUUCAAAACAAAUAUGGGUUGAACAACUUAAUUUCUUUUUUUGUAUCAAUAAUAAUAUAAGAGUGUGCAUUUAUCAAUAAGAAUAUGGAUAAAAUAAUAUUUUUUUUUAAAUAAAUGAAACCAAAAAAUAAAUAUAAAUGGAUAAAAUUCAAGUAAAUAAUAGAAUUAUUAAAUUUUUCAACAAUAGCAGUAUUUGCAAUUUGUAUACUUAAAACUAUUUUCUUAUCCAUCGAAAUUCAGACAAAAUCAUUAUUUUAUUAUCCAAUGCUGUUUACACUAGCAUAUGCAAAUAUGCACCAUCACAAUUGAGAAGGUUUUGAAUUCCAAUUUUAUAGCUAGUCUCAAUAACUAAAACAAAAGAGAAAAAAAUCACAUAAAUCAUGUUUAUCUUCUCAAUUUUGACAUCACACUAUAUUUGGCAACCACUUCAAUAGUAGAACCUUACUUAAUACUUCUCAUAUUUAAACAACAUUUAUCCAGUUUGUGGGCUAUUAUUUCAAGCAUUUCCACUUCAAAUCAUGAUGAAGUGAAAUUCUGCAACUGACAUGUUUAUGUCAAUAUAUAACUCCAAUUUCAAUAAUAAAAAUUAAUUAAUUAAUUUCUCUUUUAAUUUAUAACUUAAGAAAAACUUAGUGAGUUUCAAUGACCAUUGACAUACGGGACGUCCAUAAGAAAUUAUAAAAUAUAAAGAAGAAUAGCUAGCCUAGCUUCUUCGAGAAUUGACACUUUAUAUGGAAUAUGAAUAAUAAGAGAAAGUAAUAAAUAAAUAAAUAAAAUAGAGAAAAUAAGAAUUUUUAUUUUUGAACAAUACACGUAGUCUGCUUACAUACCUUCAGUGAAUGAUGAGGUUCACGUAGCUCUUAAUAAUAAAUAAUAAUAUAAAUUCUAUAAUAACAUAAUUUAAUUCCUAUUAAUAAUCUUCUAUAUUAUCUGAAUAUGCCAUUCACGAUUAAAUUUACUCAUUUAUUCAAUAAUCUACUAGAAGAGUAACGAAUAUAUCUAGAAUCUAGUAAAUAAUUAAGAAAAUAAAUAGAUAUAUUUUUAUAUUAUCAUACCUAUUUAUUGGCAUUAUUUUAUUAAAACACUAAAUAUUAUUAUACACAAUAAUAAAAUUUAUUUGCUGUUCAAAAAAUAAUAAAAUUUAUUCAAACUAUUAUCAAUAUAAUCCAUAAAUAAUUAUUUAAUCUUUUAUUUUUCAUAUUGAAAUCUUCUCUCAAAACCAAGCUAACUCUCCAGCGCAAAACUUGAAUAUUCAGUCCAAAUAAUUAUAGGGUAAAAUUUAAAUACCUAAUUCAUUAGUCAAAUAUAAAUUUUAUAUCAUCAUUUGAUUGUCCAAAUCCCAAUCAAGAUGUUUAAACAUAUUUACAUGGCUAAUAUGCCUAAUUUUUAAAAUAUUAUAUAAUAAUUAAAUAUUGGAUAAACAACAAUACAAUAUUCUACCUCAAAAUAUAAUAUUAGUUCUAUUAAAAUAAUUUAUCUAUCUUAACUAAUUAUUUUUUAUAUUCAAAUUUAACAUUUUUACUUGAGAAAAUAACAAUAACUCUUUAAAACCCAAAUAAAGUAAAUGAAGAAAUAAAUAAAUAUGCAAUUAAACUUGCCGGAUAUAAUAUAUACAAACAUUUUCAAAUAAAAAAUAACACUUUUGACUGCUAAAAAAAGGACUAUUUUAGUGUUUAAUUCAAUAUUUCAAUAUAAACCAUAGCUUUUAGUACCAUAUAUAUAUAUAUAUAUAUAUAUAUAUAUAUAUAUAUAUAUACAUCUAAAUUAAUAUGUAAUAUUCUAACUAUUUUGAUCAUCUCUGUAAUCUAACCACUCAUUCUAAACAUGAGAACCUCGUAUUGGUAAAAAUAGUAAUUCUUAAAACAUCUCUAUAUCUCAUUACAUAAAGGAAUACAUUAAAAUUUUGAAAUUUAAAAAAAAUUCAGCAAGUUUCCCAUUCUAGCACCUAUAAAAAAAAUUAUUAUUACUCAUAAGCUAUAAGUUUAAAAUUUACCAAAUUUUAGAAUAAUAUCCCCAACAUAUCAAAAAUCUAUCAUGCCAAAUUUUAUAAUUUUACAAGCACUUUAACUAUUUAUUUUACUCAAAAAAUAAUAACCCAACACUUUAACAUCUCAAACCAGACAAUUUAUAUUCUACUAUUUAUUUCUUUAAAUCCAACAUUAAAUAAUUAUCAAAUUAAAACUAUAAGUUCUACACAUAUAUUCGAAACAUACUAAAAGAUCAAUAGUGAAAAAUAAUUGAAACUUACCUUAUUGGCCGGAGAAGUUGCUGUCCCUAUAAGCCAUAUUUAUUUUACUCAUAACACCUUUCUUUCUCUCCUUUCUCUCUUUUCUUUCCAUUUUCCGGUUACCCAUUAUUGGCAAGACAUAGUUUCGGCUAGCUCUUUAUUCUUCACUCUCCUCUUUCUCCUCUUUCUCCAAUUUUGU
This 3947-nucleotide long non-coding RNA is filed under the name Manihot esculenta (cassava). RNAcentral describes it as "long non-coding RNA (MESC_LNC007815)". Lineage: Eukaryota; Viridiplantae; Streptophyta; Magnoliopsida; Malpighiales; Euphorbiaceae. The record is from RNAcentral.